RNAcentral lists this ribosomal RNA (301 nucleotides) under uncultured bacterium. RNAcentral's name for it is "partial 16S ribosomal RNA". It matches the Rfam family "Bacterial small subunit ribosomal RNA", at positions 509 to 807 of the family's 1533-position model. The record is from RNAcentral.
CAGUCGCCGCGGUAAUACGGAGGGAGCUAGCGUUGUCCGGAAUUAUUGGGCGUAAAGGGCUCGCAGGCGGUUUCUUAAGUCUGAUGUGAAAGCCCCCGGCUCAACCGGGGAGGGUCAUUGGAAACUGGGAAACUUGAGUGCAGAAGAGGAGAGUGGAAUUCCACGUGUAGCGGUGAAAUGCGUAGAGAUGUGGAGGAACACCAGUGGCGAAGGCGACUCUCUGGUCUGUAACUGACGCUGAGGAGCGAAAGCGUGGGGAGCGAACAGGAUUAGAUACCCGCGUAGUCCCUGUCUCUUAUAC